UGGGCGUUAAGUUGCAGGGUAUAGACCCGAAACCCGGUGAUCUAGCCAUGGGCAGGUUGAAGGUUGGGUAACACUAACUGGAGGACCGAACCGACUAAUGUUGAAAAAUUAGCGGAUGACCUGUGGCUGGGGGUGAAAGGCCAAUCAAACCGGGAGAUAGCUGGUUCUCCCCGAAAGCUAUUUAGGUAGCGCCUCGUGAAUUCAUCUCCGGGGGUAGAGCACUGUUUCGGCUAGGGGGCCAUCCCGGCUUACCAACCCGAUGCAAACUGCGAAUACCGGAGAAUGUUAUCACGGGAGACACACGGCGGGUGCUAACGUCCGUCGUGAAGAGGGAAACAACCCAGACCGCCAGCUAAGGUCCCAAAGUCAUGGUUAAGUGGGAAACGAUGUGGGAAGGCCCAGACAGCCAGGAUGUUGGCUUAGAAGCAGCCAUCAUUUAAAGAAAGCGUAAUAGCUCACUGGUCGAGUCGGCCUGCGCGGAAGAUGUAACGGGGCUAAACCAUGCACCGAAGCUGCGGCAGCGACGCUGAUGCGUUGUUGGGUAGGGGAGCGUUCUGUAAGCCUGUGAAGGUGGCCUGUGAGGGUUGCUGGAGGUAUCAGAAGUGCGAAUGCUGACAUAAGUAACGAUAAAGCGGGUGAAAAGCCCGCUCGCCGGAAGACCAAGGGUUCCUGUCCAACGUUAAUCGGGGCAGGGUGAGUCGACCCCUAAGGCGAGGCCGAAAGGCGUAGUCGAUGGGAAACGGGUUAAUAUUCCCGUACUUGGUGUUACUGCGAAGGGGGGACGGAGAAGGCUAUGUUGGCCGGGCGACGGUUGUCCCGGUUUAAGCGUGUAGGCUGGUUUUCCAGGCAAAUCCGGAAAAUCAAGGCUGAGGCGUGAUGACGAGGCACUACGGUGCUGAAGCAACAAAUGCCCUGCUUCCAGGAAAAGCCUCUAAGCAUCAGGUAACAUCAAAUCGUACCCCAAACCGACACAGGUGGUCAGGUAGAGAAUACCAAGGCGCUUGA
This 1005-nucleotide ribosomal RNA is filed under the name Salmonella enterica subsp. enterica serovar Mbandaka. Its description in RNAcentral is "partial 23S ribosomal RNA". It matches the Rfam family "Bacterial large subunit ribosomal RNA", at positions 689 to 1693 of the family's 2925-position model. Lineage: Bacteria; Pseudomonadati; Pseudomonadota; Gammaproteobacteria; Enterobacterales; Enterobacteriaceae. The record is from RNAcentral.